RNAcentral lists this transfer RNA (76 nucleotides) under Thermoplasmatales archaeon A-plasma. It matches the Rfam family "tRNA". From Rfam's summary of the family: Transfer RNA (tRNA) molecules are approximately 80 nucleotides in length. Their secondary structure includes four short double-helical elements and three loops (D, anti-codon, and T loops). Lineage: Archaea; Methanobacteriati; Thermoplasmatota; Thermoplasmata; Thermoplasmatales. The record is from Rfam by way of RNAcentral.
AGCGGGGUAGGGUAGUUAGGAGAUCCCCGACGGGCUCAUAACCCGUAGAUCAAUGGUUCAAAUCCAUUCCCCGCUA